GUCCGACUGCAGACGACAAUAGUUGUGAAUUACAGCACAGAUCUAUUGCUAAUGGUCACCUAACAAACCAAAAGCUAAUCAUCAAACAUAGCCGUUUAAAGAAACUUAGUUUGUGGGGUUGUUCUGGUUUGGAUAGAGGUUGUUACUUCAAUGCCCUGGUUUGGAAAAUGUGCAUGCAUCUUGUUCUCAAGAUCUUCUAAGUAUGGCCAUCCAAAAUCAGGUCCGCAAUGCAUAUACAGCCAUGGAAAAUCUUUUACUUUGUAAGCGUUUACCUGAUGGGUCCAAAAGGGUCCCGGUUCCUCAUCAUUUACUCAGUAACGAGUUAAAAACAAUAACAGCAAGUUUAGUCUACCUCACCUUAUUUUUUUUGGUAUAUUAGUUGGAAGCUAUCUCUGUAUUUUGCAUGCACUGUAGCCAGUGUUAUCUAAAUUUGAUUUUGUGCAUCAAUUACCUGUAUCACAUUUUGUUAAGUAAAGCAUCUUUGUUUGUUUAAUGUCCCAUGUCAAGAAUAUUCAAGAAGAAUGAAUAUGAUGAAGAAUAAGAGAGAAAAAAGAGAGUGAUAUUGACUGAGUAUAUAGUUGUUAUAUGCUAUUAAGUGUGUUACAUAGAGAGAACAAUGUACUGCUAUUUUAUAGCUAAAGUUUGGUGAUAGAAAGCUAAAAUAAAGAAAGCUAUUAGAUAGUAAUUGAAUUUGAAUGAGUCAAUUCUUGUUUUUGGGAUCCUAAGCUGUUAUUAUUCUUUACAUCUCCUCUCAAGCUGUUAUUACAAUCUA
Long non-coding RNA from Arachis stenosperma, 772 nucleotides. RefSeq lists it as uncharacterized. NCBI's taxonomy places the organism in Eukaryota, Viridiplantae, Streptophyta, Magnoliopsida, Fabales, Fabaceae. The record is from RefSeq and is a predicted model, not a curated record. The transcript is spliced from 3 exons.